AUGUCUGCGGACUUACAACACUAGAAACCAGUUUCGAUACCCGUGUUGGACAGAGCACAGAUAGCCCAUUAACUUCAAACAAACAAAGCAAAACGGCGUGGAAACUAUUGAGUUGAUAAUGAACUCGUCCGAAAGUACAAACGUAACUGUUGUUGCAUCAUCAUCGGCUAAGAAAGGAAAGUGCGAAGCGACAUUUUGCAGCAAUGAGAUAGAUCCGAACCAUGGGCUUUUGAAUCCAUAAAACAGCACUGACCAUUUGGCCACACCAUGCCCUUGGUUGAGAUUUACCCUUCCCUAAUGCAAACUGAAAUCCAAUUUGUUCUCCCCCCCCCCAUCUACCAAUACAUUGGCUUCCUUGCUUCCAAUGUAAUUUUUUGUGUGUACAAUAAGAUAAGGCUUCCAACAAAAUCAGUGUCUCAUGUCGGAGACUUCGGGGAAACGCCGAAAGCUUUCUACAGCUUAAUACAGAAAGCAAAGAACGAAGACAGAAGAACAAUUAAGGAAAGCAACUUCAUACAUAGUUAAGUUUCUUCCAAGCAGAUUCAGCUCCUUCAACGUCUGCUGAAAGAGUCCUGCAAGACCAAACAGAAGAUGAGUCUUGUUGUGCAUAUGAUGCUUUAUCAACUUCGGACGCUCACCAACCUGAAACUUCUUCUCCAGAAGACCCAGUAGAGGUUCAUAUAAAAGAGGGAAUAUUUUCUGCACCCAAAGAGGCAGGUUUUUCAACUGAAAAAAUUGGAGCAAACCUCCUGAAGGGGAUUUGUCAACAGAUACUACACCUACCGAUGCUUCUAGAGAAGUUAGUGAUGUGCUUACUAUGAUCGAAUUGUGUGAUCUAGAGAAAUAGCCCAAUACGUUAAGUAAAAAAAUGAGGACAUAUUUGAUUGAAACAGGACCUGUUAAAGAGUUCCGCAAUAUGAUUUAUCCAAAGACGAUUCGGGCAGAAGUUUUUCUGACACAUACUACCACAGGAAGAUGCCAAAUGGAGAGACGAUUCCUAGGGAUUGGAUUGUAUAUUCUGCCUCCAAGAAUUGCGUUUUUUGUUUUCACUGCAAAGUUUUCACAAAAGGUAACUCUCCUUUAGCACAUGAAGGGUUUUCUGACUUGCAGCAUUUAUCUAGACAUUGAAGUGAUCAUGAAAAAAGUCACCACCUAUUUGUAAGUUUAUACAUUUGAAAAGAAGUUUAACCAAAGGGCAGACUUUUGAUGCUCGUAUGGAAAAACCGAUAAACCAAGAAAAGAUGCGUUGGCAGGAGGUUCUCUUGAGAAUAGUGCAAAUUGUAAAAAUUUUUAUCACAACAAAAUUUGGCUUUCAGAGGUAGCAGCGAUAAGCUUUUUUUAAAAAAAAUAAUGGCAAUUUUCUAAAAUUAAUCGAAAUUCUGGCUCAGUUCGAUCCCUUUAUCGCUGAACACGUCCAACAAUUUCAAAGAGACGAAAAAAUAGUCCACAUUACUUGUGGCAGCAAAUCCAAAAUGAGAUAAUUACUUUAUUUAGUGAGAUUAAAUCUGUCAUUGUAAAAAUGGUAGAAGAUAGUAAGUAUUAUUCAUUGAUUUUAGACUGCACACCGGACUCCAGUCAUCAAGAACAGAUAACAGUGGUCAUUAGAUUCGUUAUGUUCAAUUAUGUAAAAAACGAAGUCGAGAUAAAAGAGCAUUUUCUGGGCUUUUGUAAAAUUCUCGAUACAAUGGGUGCUGGCCUGACUACUUUUAUCACUUUUCAUUUAAUGGAAAACAAUUUAAAAAUUGAAAUAUUCGCGGACAGGGUUAUGACAAUGGCGCUAAUAUGAGAGGGAAAAAUAACGGUUUGCAGGCCCAUAUUCUAAACAAAAAUCCUCGAGUAUUUUAUGUUUCAUGCUUUUCUCACACUCUCAAUUUGGUAGUUAAUGAUGCCGCAAACGUAAACUAUCAGAUAGCUGAUUUCUUCUCUGUAAUUCAACAUCUGUUGGGAACAUUUAACCAAUAAUGUGUCUCAGUUUCAAACCCUCGAUGGGAAAGUCGAGUUGAAGCAGUAAAACCUUUACAAUUCUGUUUAUCCGAAGUUUGUGACAGUUUUUCAGAAAUAAUCGAAGACGAAGAAAAUGAACUACCUUCCAAGCAUGAGGCCCAAUGUUUGUUGGAAAAAUUGGAAUCUUUUAAGUUUAUAUGUUCCAUCGUUAUAUGGUAUGAAGUAUAAACGUUGUUUCCAAAAUCAUGCAAAAUUCAAACACAGAUUUAUCAUCAUGCAUUGAACAUUUAGACCGCCUUAAAAAAGUAUCUCAGACUAUCGAAAUAAAUUUGAAGAAAGAAUACAUACUGCGUCUGAAAUUGCCAACUCAUGUAAUGUAGAGCCACAUUUUCCUUCUGAACAGUUUCGCGGGAGAAAAAAAAAGUUUGACUACGAAUACGAAGAUGAUACUAUGAUCGGCCCUAAAGAUAAUUUCCGCAUUAUUAAAAAUAUUAUCAUUGACACGGCUGUUAGAUCAAUCGAAGAAAUAUUUGACUUGCUUCAAAAUCAGUUUUUUUUUUUUUUUUUUUUUUUAUUAUACGAUUUUAGGAAAAUGUCAGAACUGAGUAAAUCGGAGCUUUUGAAACAUUGCAUGGAUCUUGAAAUAAAACUAACCAACGAAACUGAUGAAAACUACCCAAAGGAGAUAAGACCUAAGAACUUGCAGAUGAACUUAGAUUUAUUAUGAGUUUUUUAAAAACAGAAACUUCACCGAAAGAUGUCUUGCCGUACAUUUAUAAGAACAUAUUGACGGGAACAUUUCCAAACAUUACAAUAGCAUUACGGAUUUUAUUAACGCUCCCUGUGACAGUUGCUAGUGGAGAGAGGUCGUUCUAGAAAUUAAAACUAAUAAAAAAUUAUUUGAGAUCAACAAUGGGACAACAAAGACUUACUGAUUUAGCUCUAAUAUCGAUUGAAAUUGAAAUCUGCGAGAAAAUUGAGUUGCAAAAUAUUUUAGCAAAUUUUGCUAAUUUGAAAGCUAGAAAGGUGAAAUUCUGUUAGCUUAUAUGUGGAUGAUAAGAUUACACACUUUUGAUAUUGUAGAAAAUAAAUGUUAUUGCUUUAAAAAAAGUGGAGUAUUUUAAUUAAACCUUUCCAUCGUUUAAAUCGUUGUAUGCACUGCAAAUACCAUGAUGGGGAGUUUUCUCGCCACAAUGACUGCCUGUGCUAGUGAGGCUUUUCUAAGACAGAGAACCAUUGCCAUUGUUCAUAAACAUUGAA
Molecule: long non-coding RNA, 3204 nt
Organism: Limulus polyphemus (Atlantic horseshoe crab)
Lineage: Eukaryota; Metazoa; Arthropoda; Merostomata; Xiphosura; Limulidae
Exons: 3
Source: RefSeq, a predicted model, not a curated record